This is a long non-coding RNA of Rhinichthys klamathensis goyatoka, 484 nucleotides long. RefSeq lists it as uncharacterized. The record is from RefSeq and is a predicted model, not a curated record. The transcript has 2 exons. Lineage: Eukaryota; Metazoa; Chordata; Actinopteri; Cypriniformes; Leuciscidae.
UUAAAUUUUUUAUUAAUUAAUACUAAACUAAUACUAUUUAUAAUGCAGUACUUGCUUUUUCAGGUGGAGAGGCAUAUUAGAGCUCAAUGAGAGCCCAUAACAUUAUACAGCAGUGUUGUCUUGAUUUAAUUGGGAGUUGAGCAACUUUUCCAUAAACAAAAUUGUGAUGCUGACACAGAGGAUGGAGUGAUAAUACCAGAGAUCAACUGUCUCCAUCAGACAAUAAUGUUACUUUGUUCAGACAUAUCACCUUUGAAUGACUGGGAUCCUGAUCUUCAGACACCUGAUGUAUUUUAUUUUAAUAUUAUAAAAUAGCAAAUAUUUUAAUUUCUUUGGAGCUCUAGAUUAAAACAAACACAGUUUACAAGUACACAAGAGGUUGCAGUUUAUUCUUAUUAGUCUAUGCUGAUCAUGGAUUAGCAUACCAACAGCAUAUGAAUGGGAUAGUUCACCCAAAAAUAAAAUUCUCACUUAUUUUACUCAC